This is a long non-coding RNA of Mus caroli (Ryukyu mouse), 980 nucleotides long. RefSeq lists it as uncharacterized. The record is from RefSeq and is a predicted model, not a curated record. NCBI's taxonomy places the organism in Eukaryota, Metazoa, Chordata, Mammalia, Rodentia, Muridae.
UGCCCCCUCCUCUGCUUCCUUUCUGCUGGAUGAGCAUGCUCCUCUGUGGUAUCUUAAUGUUUCCAUGUACUUGGACAUGCCAGAGGCCAAAAUAAUGAAGCAAGUAACUGUGGACCAACACUCUGAAAACACGAACCAACCUUUCCUUCCUUUGACUCGUUUCUCUCAAGUAUUGUCACAGCAGUGGAGAGCUGGCUAGCACUUCUCCCAUGGACGUAUUUCCAAGUGUGGCACAUUCAUCAGAAUGUGGUUGAAGAAAGGCAGACGAGAGAUGGUUGGACUUUUGGAUGUCAUUAAUCCAUGUUCCUGCACAGGUUGAUGUCGGCUUCCUGCCUUGGUGUAGAGCUUAGACCCGUCAAUAUUCCUUCAAGGAUGGAGAGGAUCUCAUGAGGCCCCACCCCUCCGUAAGGAUUGAUAGACAGUUAAACAAGCUUGCUGAGGGGGAAGGAACAGAGAGAUUUUCCUCAGUGAUAUGAUAUAACUGCUGUCCCAUGUCCUGUAAAUAUCAUCUUACCCAUGUUCCUGUAAACAAUUCUAAUUAAAAUCACUGACUGAGUAACAAAACAACAAAAACUAACCAUGAAAGUAAAAGGAGAGAAUAAUGAAGAAUAGACAUGAUUCAAAUAUAUUAUAUAUGCAUGAAAAUGCAAUAAUGAAGCCUACUACUAUGUAUAAUUAAUGCUAAUAAAUACUAAUAAAAAGAUGCACAUUCAUAACAAUAAUUAUUUUUGAUAUAUAAUCAUGUGCAUUUAUUUAUCACCAUGUCACUAGUUUUGUGAAGAGCACUUUAAUUUAAAAUUUUUUCUUUAAUUUUCUUCAAGGUUGUGUUUUAUGUUUAAUAUAUUUAAUGCUGACAUCAUCAACUGAUUCAUUUAUGUGCAUCAUGCUUUUAUUAGUUAUGAAAAUUCUCUCUUGGAGUGCCUGUGGAAAUUAUGUUAUGGAAGAUAUUUCAAAUUGUACUUGUCUUAUAGUAUAUAAAA